RNAcentral lists this long non-coding RNA (218 nucleotides) under Elaeis guineensis (African oil palm). Its description in RNAcentral is "long non-coding RNA (EGUI_LNC039367)". The record is from RNAcentral. Lineage: Eukaryota; Viridiplantae; Streptophyta; Magnoliopsida; Arecales; Arecaceae.
CAUGUUAAUUAGAUUAAUUUUUGGUACAUGAGAUGUAUGCAAAGCAUGUAUUAGUUAGAUCUUAAAUUGUAUAUGUGAUAUGUUAAUUUAGAUCUAACUAGUUUUGUAGUUAAAUUUAUAUUUCUGGUUAAGGUAUUCCUCAUGGCCGUCUGGUCAUAAGAAUGAAGUAGAAUUUAAAGGCCCUCUCCUCCCAUUCAAUGGGGCAUUCAUAUGACGUG